This 598-nucleotide ribosomal RNA is filed under the name uncultured bacterium. RNAcentral describes it as "bacterial SSU rRNA". It matches the Rfam family "Bacterial small subunit ribosomal RNA", at positions 331 to 929 of the family's 1533-position model. The record is from RNAcentral.
CCAGACUCCUACGGGAGGCAGCAGUGAGGAAUAUUGGACAAUGGUCGGAAGACUGAUCCAGCCAUGCCGCGUGCAGGAUGAAGGUCUUAUGGAUUGUAAACUGCUUUUGUAAGGGAAGAAUAAGGGCUACGCGUAGUUUGAUGACGGUACCUUACGAAUAAGCAUCGGCUAACUCCGUGCCAGCAGCCGCGGUAAUACGGAGGAUGCGAGCGUUAUCCGGAAUCAUUGGGUUUAAAGGGUCUGUAGGCGGGCUGGUAAGUCAGAGGUGAAAGCGCUUAGCUCAACUAAGCAACUGCCUUUGAAACUGUUGGUCUUGAAUGGUUGUGAAGUAGUUGGAAUGUGUAGUGUAGCGGUGAAAUGCUUAGAUAUUACACAGAACACCGAUAGCGAAGGCAUAUUACUAACAAUUAAUUGACGCUGAUGGACGAAAGCGUGGGGAGCGAACAGGAUUAGAUACCCUGGUAGUCCACGCUGUAAACGAUGGAUACUAGCUGUUUGGUUUAAGGAUUGAGUGGCUAAGCGAAAGUGAUAAGUAUCCCACCUGGGGAGUACGUUCGCAAGAAUGAAACUCAAAGGAAUUGACGGGGGCCCGCACAAG